CUCAACCCAAUGGUUUGGAUCUCUCCCAAUUGCCCAUGCAUUGAUAAUGACCCUGGUCUUUGAAGGUAUCUCAAAUCCAUUAAUCUCGCAGUUUUGGCUACAUUCUCUUGGAAGCAAUAAAGGGAAAACAGGGUGCAGUCUCAAGGUUUCUUUUAUAACACACUUUAGAUAUUUAAGUUGAUGAAUGCCUGUUUCAUCUACAUUUCCUUUGCCUUGGAAUACCUGCCUUACCUCUGCUUGUGCUUUUGUCAUAACUCUAGGGUUUUUAAUCAUUUCUGACAUUGCCCAUUCUACAACCGAUGCUGAUGUCUCACUUCCACC
RNAcentral lists this long non-coding RNA (321 nucleotides) under Gossypium raimondii (Peruvian cotton). Its description in RNAcentral is "long non-coding RNA (GRAI_LNC010869)". The record is from RNAcentral. Lineage: Eukaryota; Viridiplantae; Streptophyta; Magnoliopsida; Malvales; Malvaceae.